AGUGAACGCUGGCGGUAGGCCUAACACAUGCAAGUAGAACGGCAGCACAGUAAGAGCUUGCUCUUACGGGUGGCGAGUGGCGGACGGGUGAGGAAUACAUCGGAAUCUACUUUUUCGUGGGGGAUAACGUAGGUAAACUUACGCUAAUACCGCAUACGACCUACGGGUGAAAGCAGGGGAUCUUCGGACCUUGCGCGAUUGAUUGAGCCGAUGUCGGAUUAGCUAGUUGGCGGGGUAAAGGCCCACCAAGGCGACGAUCCGUAGCUGGUCUGAGAGGAUGAUCAGCCACACUGGAACUGAGACACGGUCCAGACUCCUACGGGAGGCAGCAGUGGGGAAUAUUGGACAAUGGGCGCAAGCCUGAUCCAGCCAUACCGCGUGGGUGAAGAAGGCCUUCGGGUUGUAAAGCCCUUUUGUUGGGAAAGAAAAGCAGCAGGUUAAUACCCCGCUGUUCUGACGGUACCCAAAGAAUAAGCACCGGCUAACUUCGUG
RNAcentral lists this ribosomal RNA (492 nucleotides) under uncultured bacterium. RNAcentral describes it as "partial 16S ribosomal RNA". It matches the Rfam family "Bacterial small subunit ribosomal RNA", at positions 29 to 507 of the family's 1533-position model. The record is from RNAcentral.